UAAAAGUUGGUUGAUUUUGGCAUUUUGUUUGUUUGUGUUUGAAUGAUUGUGGCUUGUGGACCACAUACACUCACGGGAUACACAGAAAUCACCCCUUUUUCUUCUUCUUUUCCGUGAUUCCCUCAAACUCACUCUCUCUAUUCCCUUCGAGCUCUCUCUCUCUCUCUACACACGGACCAUCACCAAGGACCUUCAAAACUUCACAGAUCGAGGAAACAAAGACCACCAUCGUCUUCAUCUCGUCGAUACAAGUCCAUCCAUACUAGUUUCAGGUUCUAGUUAGCAAUUGGUGGCUCACGAGGUUUUCUUUGACGUUCUGACAGACUUCCUGCAUGUAGGACUCACCUGCGGGUGUUGUAAUUUAAAUAUAGUCCUACUUGACUACACCUAGUUUUUAUGCUCUGAAAUCGUGUAUUGCACACUUUAACUCACUCUAAUACUGCUAGUAGUUGGUUUUUAUUCCUUCGUAUUUCUUA
Non-coding RNA from Malus domestica (apple), 476 nucleotides. Lineage: Eukaryota; Viridiplantae; Streptophyta; Magnoliopsida; Rosales; Rosaceae. The record is from RefSeq and is a predicted model, not a curated record.